AUACGGAGGGGGUUAGCGUUGUUCGGAAUUACUGGGCGUAAAGCGCACGUAGGCGGAUUGGAAAGUUGGGGGUGAAAUCCCAGGGCUCAACCCUGGAACUGCCUCCAAAACUAACAGUCUAGAGUUCGAGAGUGGUGAGUGGAAUUCCAAGUGUAGAGGUGAAAUUCGUAGAUAUUUGGAGGAACACCAGUGGCGAAGGCGGCUCACUGGCUCGAUACUGGCGCUGAGGUGCGAAAGCGUGGGGAGCAAACAGGAUUAGAAACCCUUGUAGUCC
RNAcentral lists this ribosomal RNA (274 nucleotides) under uncultured bacterium. RNAcentral describes it as "partial 16S ribosomal RNA". It matches the Rfam family "Bacterial small subunit ribosomal RNA", at positions 523 to 796 of the family's 1533-position model. The record is from RNAcentral.